RNAcentral lists this transfer RNA (74 nucleotides) under Escualosa thoracata (white sardine). Its description in RNAcentral is "tRNA-Lys". It matches the Rfam family "tRNA". From Rfam's summary of the family: Transfer RNA (tRNA) molecules are approximately 80 nucleotides in length. Lineage: Eukaryota; Metazoa; Chordata; Actinopteri; Clupeiformes; Clupeidae. RNAcentral also lists the same sequence under 1 other name. The record is from RNAcentral.
CACUAGGAAGCUAAAUCGGGCCUAGCGUCAGCCUUUUAAGCUGAAGAUUGGUGGCCCCCAACCACCCCUAGUGA